RNAcentral lists this ribosomal RNA (407 nucleotides) under uncultured bacterium. RNAcentral describes it as "partial 16S ribosomal RNA". It matches the Rfam family "Bacterial small subunit ribosomal RNA", at positions 30 to 526 of the family's 1533-position model. The record is from RNAcentral.
AUUGAACGCUGGCGGCAGGCCUAACACAUGCAAGUCGAACGGAGCGGCGGAGGGGUGAGUAAUGCCAAGGAAUCUGCCAGGUAGUGGGGGAUAACGUCCGGAAACGGGCGCUAAUACCGCACACCAUAGGCUGAGACCAAAUGGGAUUAGCUAGUUGGUGGGGUAAAGGCCUACCAAGGCGACGAUCCGUAACUGGUCUGAGAGGAUGAUCAGUCACACUGGAACUGAGACACGGUCCAGACUCCUACGUGAGGCAGCAGUGGGGAAUAUUGGACAAUGGGCGAAAGCCUGAUCCAGCCAUGCCGCGUGUGUGAAGAAGGUCUUCGGAUUGUAAAGCACUUUAAGUUGGGAGGCGUUACCAGCAGAAUAAGCACCGGCUAACUCCGUGCCAGCAGCCGCGGUAAUUC